GGGAGCUUGCUCCCUGAAGUCAGCGGCGGACGGGUGAGAAACGCGUGGGCAACCUGCCUGUAAGACUGGGAUAACUUCGGGAAACCGGAGCUAAUACCGGAUAAUGCAUAACCUCUCAUGAGGUUAUGCUGAAAGAUGGUUUCGGCUAUCACUUACAGAUGGGCCCGCGGCGCAUUAGCUAGUUGGUGAGGUAACGGCUCACCAAGGCAACGAUGCGUAGCCGACCUGAGAGGGUGAUCGGCCACACUGGGACUGAGACACGGCCCAGACUCCUACGGGAGGCAGCAGUAGGGAAUCUUCCGCAAUGGACGAAAGUCUGACGGAGCAACGCCGCGUGAGUGAUGAAGGUUUUCGGAUCGUAAAACUCUGUUGUCAGGGAAGAACAAGUGCCGGAGUAACUGCCGGCACUUUUGACGGUACCUGACCAGAAAGCCACGGCUAACUACGUGCCAGCAGCCGCGGUAAUACGUAGGUGGCAAGCGUUGUCCGGAAUUAUUGGGCGUAAAGCGCGCGCAGGCGGUCUCUUAAGUCUGAUGUGAAAGCCCACGGCUCAACCGUGGAGGGUCAUUGGAAACUGGGGGGACUUGAGUGCAGAAGAGGAAAGUGGAAUUCCACGUGUAGCGGUGAAAUGCGUAGAGAUGUGGAGGAACACCAGUGGCGAAAGCGACUUUCUGGUCUGUAACUGACGCUGAGGCGCGAAA
This 701-nucleotide ribosomal RNA is filed under the name Bacillus infantis. RNAcentral's name for it is "bacterial SSU rRNA". It matches the Rfam family "Bacterial small subunit ribosomal RNA", at positions 74 to 758 of the family's 1533-position model. Lineage: Bacteria; Bacillati; Bacillota; Bacilli; Caryophanales; Bacillaceae. The record is from RNAcentral.